This 550-nucleotide ribosomal RNA is filed under the name uncultured bacterium. RNAcentral's name for it is "bacterial SSU rRNA". It matches the Rfam family "Bacterial small subunit ribosomal RNA", at positions 355 to 896 of the family's 1533-position model. The record is from RNAcentral.
UAGGGAAUCUUCGGCAAUGGACGGAAGUCUGACCGAGCAACGCCGCGUGAGUGAAGAAGGUUUUCGGAUCGUAAAGCUCUGUUGUAAGAGAAGAAUGAGUGUGAGAGUGGAAAGUUCACACUGUGACGGUAUCUUACCAGAAAGGGACGGCUAACUACGUGCCAGCAGCCGCGGUAAUACGUAGGUCCCAAGCGUUGUCCGGAUUUAUUGGGCGUAAAGCGAGCGCAGGCGGUUAGAUAAGUCUGAAGUUAAAGGCUGUGGCUUAACCAUAGUACGCUUUGGAAACUGUUUAGCUUGAGUGCAAGAGGGGAGAGUGGAAUUCCAUGUGUAGCGGUGAAAUGCGUAGAUAUAUGGAGGAACACCGGUGGCGAAAGCGGCUCUCUGGCUUGUAACUGACGCUGAGGCUCGAAAGCGUGGGGAGCAAACAGGAUUAGAUACCCUGGUAGUCCACGCCGUAAACGAUGAGUGCUAGGUGUUAGACCCUUUCCGGGGUUUAGUGCCGUAGCUAACGCAUUAAGCACUCCGCCUGGGGAGUACGACCGCAAGGUUG